GAUGAACGCUGGCGGCGUGCCUAAUACAUGCAAGUCGAGCGAACAGACGAGGAGCUUGCUCCUCUGACGUUAGCGGCGGACGGGUGAGUAACACGUGGAUAACCUACCUAUAAGACUGGGAUAACUUCGGGAAACCGGAGCUAAUACCGGAUAAUAUAUUGAACCGCUUGGUUCAAUAGUGAAAGACGGUUUUGCUGUCACUUAUAGAUGGAUCCGCGCCGCAUCAGCUAGUUGGUAAGGUAACGGCUUACCAAGGCAACGAUGCGUAGCCGACCUGAGAGGGUGAUCGGCCACACUGGAACUGGGACACGGUCCAGACUCCUACGGGAGGCGGCAGGAGGGAAUCUUCCGCAAUGGGCGAAAGCCUGACGGAGCAACGCCGCGUGAGUGAUGAAGGUCUUCGGAUCGUAAAACUCUGUUAUUAGGGAAGAACAAAUGUGUAAGUAACUAUGCACGUCCUGACGGUACCUAAUCAGAAAGCCACGGCUAACUACGUGCCAGCCGCCGCUGUAA
RNAcentral lists this ribosomal RNA (513 nucleotides) under uncultured bacterium. RNAcentral describes it as "partial 16S ribosomal RNA". It matches the Rfam family "Bacterial small subunit ribosomal RNA", at positions 28 to 523 of the family's 1533-position model. The record is from RNAcentral.